GACGAACGCUGGCGGCGUGCUUAACACAUGCAAGUCGAACGGAAAGGCCCUGCUUGCAGGGUACUCGAGUGGCGAACGGGUGAGUAACACGUGGGUGAUCUGCCCUGCACUUCGGGAUAAGCUUGGGAAACUGGGUCUAAUACCGGAUAGGAGCCAUCUUUAGUGUGGUGGUUGGAAAGUUUUUUCGGUGUAGGAUGAGCUCGCGGCCUAUUAGCUUGUUGGUGGGGUAAUGGCCUAGCAAGGCGGCGACGGGUAGCCGGCCGGAGAGGGUGUACGGCCACAUCGGAACUGAGAUACGGCCCAGACUCCUACGGGAGGCAGCAGUGGGGAAUAUUGCACAAUGGGCGCAAGCCUGAUGCAGCGACGCCGCGUGGGGGAUGAAGGCCUUCGGGUUGUAAACUCCUUUCGCUAGGGACGAAGCUUUGUUGUGACGGUACCUAGAUAAGAAGCACCGGCUAACUACGUG
RNAcentral lists this ribosomal RNA (466 nucleotides) under uncultured bacterium. RNAcentral describes it as "partial 16S ribosomal RNA". It matches the Rfam family "Bacterial small subunit ribosomal RNA", at positions 28 to 507 of the family's 1533-position model. The record is from RNAcentral.